Molecule: transfer RNA, 68 nt
Filed under: Gehyra marginata
Lineage: Eukaryota; Metazoa; Chordata; Lepidosauria; Squamata; Gekkonidae
Description: tRNA-Arg
Source: RNAcentral
CAGCAGCUAGUCUAAUCAAAGACCACUAAUUUCGACCUAGUAAAUCUCGCAUUACACGAGGCCGCUGC